Molecule: ribosomal RNA, 492 nt
Filed under: uncultured bacterium
Lineage: Bacteria
Description: partial 16S ribosomal RNA
Rfam family: Bacterial small subunit ribosomal RNA
Source: RNAcentral
AGUGAACGCUGGCGGUAGGCCUAACACAUGCAAGUCGAACGGCAGCACAGUAAGAGCUUGCUCUUACGGGUGGCGAGUGGCGGACGGGUGAGGAAUACAUCGGAAUCUACUUUUUCGUGGGGGAUAACGUAGGGAAACUUACGCUAAUACCGCAUACGACCUACGGGUGAAAUCAGGGGAUCUUCGGACCUUGCGCGAUUGAAUGAGCCGAUGUCGGAUUAGCUAGUUGGCGGGGUAAAGGCCCACCAAGGCGACGAUGCGUAGCUGGUCUGAGAGGAUGAUCAGCCACACUGGAACUGAGACACGGUCCAGACUCCUACGGGAGGCAGCAGUAGGGAAUAUUGGGCAAUGGGCGAAAGCCUGAUGCAGCAAUGCCGCGUGAGUGAAGAAGGUCUUCGGGUUGUAAAACUCUUUUAUUAGGAAAGAAAAGAAGCAGAUGAAAACCCGGAUGUUUUGACGGUACCCAAAGAGUAAGCAACGGCUAACUACGUG